GACGAACGCUGGCGGCGUGCUUAACACAUGCAAGUCGAACGGAAAGGCCCUGCUUUUGUGGGGUGCUCGAGUGGCGAACGGGUGAGUAACACGUGAGUAACCUGCCCUUGACUUUGGGAUAACUUCAGGAAACUGGGGCUAAUACCGGAUAGGAGCUCCUGCUGCAUGGUGGGGGUUGGAUAGUUUCGGCGGUUGGGGAUGGACUCGCGGCUUAUCAGCUUGUUGGUGGGGUAGUGGCUUACCAAGGCUUUGACGGGUAGCCGGCCUGAGAGGGUGACCGGCCAAAUUGGGACUGAGAUACGGCCCAGACUACUACGGGAGGCAGCAGUGGGGAAUAGUGCACAAUGGGAGGAAGCCUGAUGCAGCAACGCCGCGUGCGGGAUGACGGCCUUCGGGUUGUAAACCGCUUUCGCCUGUGACGAAGCGUGAGUGACGGUAAUGGGUAAAGAAGCACCGGCUAACUACGUG
Molecule: ribosomal RNA, 468 nt
Filed under: uncultured bacterium
Lineage: Bacteria
Description: partial 16S ribosomal RNA
Rfam family: Bacterial small subunit ribosomal RNA
Source: RNAcentral